RNAcentral lists this transfer RNA (98 nucleotides) under Deltaproteobacteria bacterium. RNAcentral's name for it is "tRNA-Sec". It matches the Rfam family "Selenocysteine transfer RNA". Lineage: Bacteria; Pseudomonadati; Myxococcota; Myxococcia. RNAcentral also lists the same sequence under 1 other name. The record is from RNAcentral.
GGAAGUGGAAAGGUCACUGGUGGGCCUCCUGGACUUCAAAUCCAGUGGAAGGCGUGAGAAGCGUCUUCGGUGGGUUCGAUUCCCAUGCACUUCCGCCA